RNAcentral lists this ribosomal RNA (458 nucleotides) under uncultured bacterium. RNAcentral's name for it is "partial 16S ribosomal RNA". It matches the Rfam family "Bacterial small subunit ribosomal RNA", at positions 338 to 795 of the family's 1533-position model. The record is from RNAcentral.
CCUACGGGAGGCAGCAGUGAGGAAUAUUGGUCAAUGGGCGAGAGCCUGAACCAGCCAAGUCGCGUGAGGGAGUACUGCCCUAUGGGUUGUAAACCUCUUUUGUCGGGGAGCAAAAGCCGGACGUGUCCGGCUGUGAGAGUACCCGAAGAAAAAGCAUCGGCUAACUCCGUGCCCGCAGCCGCGGUAAUACGGAGGAUGCGAGGGUUAUCCGGAUUUAUUGGGUUUAAAGGGGGCGCAGGCGGAUUUUUAAGGCGGCGGUCAAGUCGUGGGGCUCAACCCCAUCCAGCCGUGGAAAUUGGGGAUCUAGAGUGUGCGAGAGGUAUGCGGAAUGCGUGGUGUAGCGGUGAAAUGCGUAGAUAUCACGCAGAACACCGAUUGCGAAGGCAGCUUACUGGUGCACAACUGACGCUGAGGCACGAAAGCGUGGGUAUCGAACAGGAUUAGAUACCCCUGUAGUC